RNAcentral lists this ribosomal RNA (1401 nucleotides) under Martinezella tropici. RNAcentral's name for it is "bacterial SSU rRNA". It matches the Rfam family "Bacterial small subunit ribosomal RNA". Lineage: Bacteria; Pseudomonadati; Pseudomonadota; Alphaproteobacteria; Hyphomicrobiales; Rhizobiaceae. The record is from RNAcentral.
UCCGCGUGGGCGGCUUAAACAUGCAAGUCGAGCGCCCCUUAGGGGGGAGCGGGAAAACGGGGGAAGUAACGCGGUGGGAAAUCUACCUUUUGUUACGGAAUAACGCAGGGAAAACUUGGGUUAUUACCGUAGGGGUCCUUCGGGAAAAAAAUUUAUCGGCAAAAAAUGAGCCCGCGUUGGAUUACUUAGUUGGGGGGGUAAAGGCCUACCAGGGCGACAAUCCUUAGUUGGCCUGAAAGGAUGAUCAGCCACUUGGGGACUGAAACCCGGCCCAAACUCCUACGGAAGGCAGCAGGGGGGAAUAUUGAACAAGGGGCGCAAGCCUGAUCCACCCUUGCCGCGGGAGUGAUGAAGGCCCUAGGGUUGUAAAGCUCUUUCACCGAAAAAAAUAAUGACGGUAUCCGAAAAAAAAGCCCCGGCUAACUUCGGGCCACCAGCCGCGGAAAUACAAAGGGGGCUAGCGUUGUUCGAAAUUACGGGGCGUAAAGCGCACGUAGGCGAAUCGAUCAGCCAGGGGUGAAAUCCCAGGGCUCAACCCUGAAACUGCCUUUGAUACUGUCAAUCUGAAGUAUGAAAAAGGUGGAGUGGAAAUUCCAAGGGUAAAGGGGAAAUUCGUAAAUAUUCGAAGGAACACCAGUGGCAAAGGCGGCUCACUGGUCCAUUACUGACGCUAAGGUGCGAAAGCGUGGGGAGCAAACAGGAUUAAAUACCCUGGUAGUCCACGCCGUAAACCAAUGAAUGUUAGCCGUCCGGCAGAAUACUGUUCGGUGGCGCAGCUAACGCAUUAAACAUUCCGCCUGGGGAGUACGGUCGCAAGAUUAAAACUCAAAGGAAUUGACGGGGGCCCGCACAAGCGGUGGAGCAUGUGGUUUAAUUCGAAGCAACGCGCAGAACCUUACCAGCCCUUGACAUCCCGUGUUACCAAAAGAGAUUUGGGGUCCACUUCGGUGCCGCGAAGACAGGUGCUGCAUGGCUGUCGUCAGCUCGUGUCGUGAAAUGUUGGGUUAAGUCCCGCAACGAGCGCAACCCUCGCCCUUAGUUGCAAGCAUUUGGUUGGGCACUCUAAGGGGACUGCCGGUGAUAAGCCAAGAGGAAGGUGGGGAUGACGUCAAGUCCUCAUGGCCCUUACGGGCUGGGCUACACACGUGCUACAAUGGUGGUGACAGUGGGCAGCGAGCACGCGAGUGUGAGCUAAUCUCCAAAAGCCAUCUCAGUUCGGAUUGCACUCUGCAACUCGAGUGCAUGAAGUUGGAAUCGCUAGUAAUCGCGGAUCAGCAUGCCGCGGUGAAUACGUUCCCGGGCCUUGUACACACCGCCCGUCACACCAUGGGAGUUGGUUUACCCGAAGGUAGUGCGCUAACCGCAAGGAGGCAGCUAACCCACGGUUAGGUCCGCGCGGUU